UACAGGGGGUGCAAACGUUGCUCGGAAUUAUUGGGCGUAAAGCGCGCGUAGGCGGCUACUUAAGUCGGAUGUGAAAGCCCCUGGCUCAACUGGGGAAGUGCACCCGAAACUGAGUGGCUUGAGUGCGAAAGAGGGUCGCGGAAUUCCCGGUGUAGAGGUGAAAUUCGUAGAUAUCUGGAGGAACACCGGUGGCGAAGGCGGCAUCCUGGACCAACACUGACGCUGAUGAGCGAAAGCCAGGGGAGCAAACGGG
This 253-nucleotide ribosomal RNA is filed under the name uncultured bacterium. RNAcentral's name for it is "partial 16S ribosomal RNA". It matches the Rfam family "Bacterial small subunit ribosomal RNA", at positions 524 to 776 of the family's 1533-position model. The record is from RNAcentral.